CUGGAACGGUAGCUAAUACCGCAUAACGUCUUCGGACCAAAGUGGGGGACCUUCGGGCCUCAUGCCAUCAGAUGUGCCCAGAUGGGAUUAGCUAGUAGGUGGGGUAAAGGCUCACCUAGGCGACGAUCCCUAGCUGGUCUGAGAGGAUGACCAGCCACACUGGAACUGAGACACGGUCCAGACUCCUACGGGAGGCAGCAGUGGGGAAUAUUGCACAAUGGGCGCAAGCCUGAUGCAGCCAUGCCGCGUGUAUGAAGAAGGCCUUCGGGUUGUAAAGUACUUUCAGCGAGGAGGAAGGUGUUGUGGUUAAUAACCACGGCCAUUGACGUUACUCGCAGAAGAAGCACCGGCUAACUCCGUGCCAGCAGCCGCGGUAAUACGGAGGGUGCAAGCGUUAAUCGGAAUUACUGGGCGUAAAGCGCACGCAGGCGGUUUGUUAAGUCAGAUGUGAAAUCCCCGGGCUCAACCUGGGAACUGCAUUUGAAACUGGCAAGCUUGAGUCUCGUAGAGGGGGGUAGAAUUCCAGGUGUAGCGGUGAAAUGCGUAGAGAUCUGGAGGAAUACCGGUGGCGAAGGCGGCCCCCUGGACGAAGACUGACGCUCAGGUGCGAAAGCGUGGGGAGCAAACAGGAUUAGAUACCCUGGUAGUCCACGCCGUAAACGAUGUCGACUUGGAGGUUGUGCCCUUGAGGCGUGGCUUCCGGAGCUAACGCGUUAAGUCGACCGCCUGGGGAGUACGGCCGCAAGGUUAAAACUCAAAUGAAUUGACGGGGGCCCGCACAAGCGGUGGAGCAUGUGGUUUAAUUCGAUGCAACGCGAAGAACCUUACCUGGUCUUGACAUCCAGAGAAUCCUGCAGAGAUGCGGGAGUGCCUUCGGGAACUCUGAGACAGGUGCUGCAUGGCUGUCGUCAGCUCGUGUUGUGAAAUGUUGGGUUAAGUCCCGCAACGAGCGCAACCCUUAUCCUUUGUUGCCAGCACGUGAUGGUGGGAACUCAAAGGAGACUGCCGGUGAUAAACCGGAGGAAGGUGGGGAUGACGUCAAGUCAUC
Molecule: ribosomal RNA, 1048 nt
Filed under: Cronobacter dublinensis
Lineage: Bacteria; Pseudomonadati; Pseudomonadota; Gammaproteobacteria; Enterobacterales; Enterobacteriaceae
Description: bacterial SSU rRNA
Rfam family: Bacterial small subunit ribosomal RNA
Source: RNAcentral